Molecule: long non-coding RNA, 1542 nt
Filed under: Sus scrofa (pig)
Lineage: Eukaryota; Metazoa; Chordata; Mammalia; Artiodactyla; Suidae
Description: lncRNA (ENSSSCG00015002377.1)
Source: RNAcentral
CAAUUUUACGAUUUUUCAAGCUGGAGGUAAAGCACAGUCUCAUCGAUGGUGGGUGCUUGGGAUGGAUAAUCAAGGGAAGGCUCUUAGAAAGGGUUUAAUUUAUUCUGUCCGAUAGUCAAGGCUAUAAGCCAUUUCAACAAAUCAAAGCCAUCAUUUGAGAAAUAAUAAAGAUUAAAAGCCAGCCUCGGACACCCCAAACUCGGGUCCUUCCUGCCGUUUAACCUGCUCCGGUUUUAUCGUAAAUAAGGCGCACUUAGCAUUGAUGAGCCUUUAUUUCUGUCUCACUGGGUGUGCAGUGCUUUUUGAUGGUCUGGAUGUAAAGGACUCAGUUUCUUGUCUAAAACAACUGAGAGCCCGCCUUUGAUUCAUGAAGAUGCAGGUAAUGCGUGAAGCGCGUGAGGACAGACGCGGGGUGCACUGGGCCGAGCGGGGCUGGGGGCCCGCAGUCCGCCGCGGGGGGGAGGCGGGGUCCGCCGCGGGGGGGAGGCGGGGGUCCUGAAGGCUCCAAGCCCAGCUUUGGUUCAGGACGUGAAGACACCGUUCCCUCCCUUUCGGAAACCGCAUUUUCUGGGGCUUCUCUCUCCCUCGUGUGCUCCUCUGUAGGAGAAACAGGAGGCUUUUCUGCCCCCAAUGCCCGGGGAGGACCCUUCCCCAGUCCCCAUGCCUGAGUCGUCACGUCCCUCCGCUUGGAGUAUUGACUUGUGGCAGUGACAUUGCCACCUCGGGUGAUGUGUCUUUCAAGUGGGAAGCCUUUCCUGGUCAAUACUGCAUCCCCGCGCUCUGGCAGGCUAAUUGAAUGCCUCCCUCGGACAAAUGGGUCCCUGGGGAAAGGGCAAAGCCCUGAUAUGCAUAUCUGAGUGGAAGCCCCAGAGGCUGUUUUAAAAACAGAUCUGUUCCUCUGGAGGCGUCGCCUCUGUAACGAAAGCGGUGCUAGUUAUUUGCUCAGCAAAAUGGACAUUCACCAGUCUGUUUAUAUCCUUCUUUUUGUUGGACUACUAUUUGGCUUUAACUUGAUCCCUUUAUAGCAAGAGAGAAGGAGAGACAGACAGAAACAGAGAGGGGAGAGAGAGAGACCGAAGCUCUAGAAUGACCCCUAGGAUGAGAAAUGUCUUGCCUUAAAAUUUGGGGUACAUAGAUCUCUUUAAAAAAAUGUACUCCCUUUCCAUCCAGCAAGUUACACUGAUGUUUAAAUUAUUUGAUAUCUUUGGAACUCAUAAAAUCUUGUCUUUCCCUGAGAGGGCGGUGUUUUUUUUCUCAGGGUUCCAUGGGGGGGUUGUGAAGAGAAAGGGGCAGGAAACCCUCUGAGCCCUGUGCCAGCUUCUCUCUGAUAACUCUCUUGGUGCUUUCUCCAGCCGUGAGAAGACUCGUGCCUGAUCUGCAGGGAAGGAAACUCAGGGAGCUCAGUGACCUGAGCCGGGUCCUGCAGUUACUUGCCGGUGUGGACGCACCUCCGGUGUCUCCAAGGCCAGUGCUUCUAGUCUCAUAGGGUUGGAUUUUGAAUCACUUUUUAAACUGGUAUCGUGGGGACAGUUCCUCAUAUUU